AACAACUUUGCAAUGUGCAGAUAUACAGCAGUACUCACCUCAAAUUACAGAAAGUCAUACAACAAGAUCCCUGCUGGUUCCAUGAUACACACAUUCCAUACACAGACACAGACACAUUCCAUACACACACACACAUUCCAUACACGUGCACACACACAUUCCAUACACACAGACACACAUUCCAUACACACAGACACAUAUUCGAUACAUUCCACACACACACACAUUCCAUACACACACAUUCCAUACACACACAUUCCAUACACACACAUUCCAUACACACACAUUCCAUACAUACACACACAUUCCACACACACACAUUCCAUACACAUACACACACAUUCCAUACACGCACACACACAUUCCAUACACACAAACAUUCCAUACACACACACACAUUCCAUACACAUACACAGACACACAUUCCAUACACACACACACAUUCCAUACACAGACACACAUUCCAUAAACACACACACAUUCCAUACACACACACAUUCCAUACACACACACAUUCCAUAUACACACAUUCCAUACACACACAUAGACACACAUUCCAUAUACACACACGCCAUACACACAUUCCAAACACACACACACAUUCCAUACACACACAUAUUCCAUACACACACAUUCCAUACACACAUACAUACACACACACAUACACAGACACACAUUCCAUGCACACACACACAUUCCAUACACACACACAUUCCAUACACACACCUUCCAUAGCAACAGACACACGCUCCAUACACACACAUUGCAUACACAUACACACACAUUCCAUACACACACAUUCCAUACACAUGCACAGUUACCCAUUCCAUACACACACACAUUCCAUACACAGACACACACCAUACACACACACAGACACACAUUCCAUACACACACACAUUCUGUAUGCACACACACACAUUCCAUACCCACACACACACAUUCGAUACGCACAUAUAUUCCAUAUACACACACACAUUCCAUACACAGACACAUUCCAUACACACACAGACACAUUCCAUACACAUACACAGACACAUUCUGUACACACAGACACACAUUCCAUACACAGACACAUUCCAUACACACACAGACACAUUCCAUACACAUACACAGACACAUUCUGUACACACAGACACACAUUCCAUACACACACACAUUCCAUACACACACACAUUCCAUACACACACAUUCCAUACACACACAGACACAUUCCAUAUGCAUACGCAGGUAUGUCCCCAAAGAAAUAGAUUGUCUCCAUCAUAUGCACAUUAACCCAACGAAAUACUUUUGGAGCUCUGUAACACCCAAACUUGACUCACAACACACAUGAACACUGA
This 1340-nucleotide long non-coding RNA is filed under the name Homo sapiens (human). RNAcentral describes it as "non-protein coding lnc-SPANXB1-7:4". The record is from RNAcentral. Lineage: Eukaryota; Metazoa; Chordata; Mammalia; Primates; Hominidae.